CGGCGUGCCUAAUACAUGCAAGUCGAGCGAAUGGAUUAAGAGCUUGCUCUUAUGAAGUUAGCGGCGGACGGGUGAGUAACACGUGGGUAACCUGCCCAUAAGACUGGGAUAACUCCGGGAAACCGGGGCUAAUACCGGAUAAUAUUUUGAACUGCAUGGUUCGAAAUUGAAAGGCGGCUUCGGCUGUCACUUAUGGAUGGACCCGCGUCGCAUUNGCUAGUUGGUGAGGUAACGGCUCACCAAGGCAACGAUGCGUAGCCGACCUGAGAGGGUGAUCGGCCACACUGGGACUGAGACACGGCCCAGACUCCUACGGGAGGCAGCAGUAGGGAAUCUUCCGCAAUGGACGAAAGUCUGACGGAGCAACNCCGCGUGAGUGAUGAAGGCUUUCGGGUCGAAAACUCUGUUGUUAUGGAAGAACAAGUGCUAGUUGAAUAAACUGGCACCUUGACGGU
RNAcentral lists this ribosomal RNA (455 nucleotides) under bacterium S1. Its description in RNAcentral is "bacterial SSU rRNA". It matches the Rfam family "Bacterial small subunit ribosomal RNA", at positions 40 to 476 of the family's 1533-position model. The record is from RNAcentral.